Molecule: non-coding RNA, 101 nt
Organism: Hypoxylon trugodes
Lineage: Eukaryota; Fungi; Ascomycota; Sordariomycetes; Xylariales; Hypoxylaceae
Source: the annotation of a RefSeq genome assembly
GGCGCAGUGGCGGAGUGGUCUAACGCGCAAGACUAGAAUCUCUAGAGAAAUUCUGUGAUCUUGUUCCUUCGGGAGCGUCUGUUCGAAUCAGGCCUGCGUCG